Molecule: ribosomal RNA, 497 nt
Filed under: uncultured bacterium
Lineage: Bacteria
Description: partial 16S ribosomal RNA
Rfam family: Bacterial small subunit ribosomal RNA
Source: RNAcentral
GACGAACGCUGGCGGCGUGCCUAAUACAUGCAAGUUGAGCGCUGAAGGUUGGUACUUGUACCAACUGGAUGAGCAGCGAACGGGUGAGUAACGCGUGGGGAAUCUGCCUUUGAGCGGGGGACAACAUUUGGAAACGAAUGCUAAUACCGCAUAAAAACUUUAAACACAAGUUUUAAGUUUGAAAGAUGCAAUUGCAUCACUCAAAGAUGAUCCCGCGUUGUAUUAGCUAGUUGGUGAGGUAAAGGCUCACCAAGGCGAUGAUACAUAGCCGACCUGAGAGGGUGAUCGGCCACAUUGAGACUGAGACACGGCCCAAACUCCUACGGGAGGCAGCAGUAGGGAAUCUUCGGCAAUGGACGAAAGUCUGACCGAGCAACGCCGCGUGAGUGAAGAAGGUUGUCGGAUCGUAAAACUCUGUUGGUAGAGAAGAACGUUGGUGAGAGUGGAAAGCUCAUCAAGUGACGGUAACUACACAGAAAGGGACGGCUAACUACGUG